AUUUCCGCCCGAUUUACAACGACAGCGUUUAAAAAGAAAUACGACUGCGGAGAUACCUAAGGGAUGUAAUCCUGUGAUUUUCCCGGGAGUUUUCCCGAUAAAUGGAAAAAAAACGUAGGAUAAACCGGAAAAUAGCUGCAAUGUUAAACGAAUAUGCUAUUACGCCAUAAUAUGACAACACUAUCAACCGAACUCCUAUCGGAAUCGUUGUUUCGUU
Molecule: non-coding RNA, 217 nt
Organism: Cinara cedri
Lineage: Eukaryota; Metazoa; Arthropoda; Insecta; Hemiptera; Aphididae
Source: the annotation of a GenBank genome assembly